GGAUUGUGGCUCAGCGGUAGAGCACCCGCCUACCAUAGGCGGGACCUGGGUUUGACCCUCAGCACCA
This 67-nucleotide transfer RNA is filed under the name Marmota monax (woodchuck). RNAcentral's name for it is "tRNA.Gly". The record is from RNAcentral. Lineage: Eukaryota; Metazoa; Chordata; Mammalia; Rodentia; Sciuridae.